Molecule: transfer RNA, 76 nt
Filed under: Gammaproteobacteria bacterium
Lineage: Bacteria; Pseudomonadati; Pseudomonadota; Gammaproteobacteria
Also listed under: 2 other names
Description: tRNA-His
Rfam family: tRNA
About the family: Transfer RNA (tRNA) molecules are approximately 80 nucleotides in length. Their secondary structure includes four short double-helical elements and three loops (D, anti-codon, and T loops).
Source: RNAcentral
GUGAAAGUAGCUUAAUGGGUAAAGCUUCUGAUUGUGAAUCAGAUAGAUGCCGGAUCAUCCCCGGUCUUUCACCCCA